This is a long non-coding RNA of Oxyura jamaicensis (ruddy duck), 717 nucleotides long. RefSeq lists it as uncharacterized. The record is from RefSeq and is a predicted model, not a curated record. The transcript is spliced from 2 exons. NCBI's taxonomy places the organism in Eukaryota, Metazoa, Chordata, Aves, Anseriformes, Anatidae.
UGGGGCUUGCUGGCUGCUCUGAGUAGAGAUGUAUGUAUUUGACCUGCUCGGGGUGUGUUAAGUGCCUUGCCACAAAGCCAUCGAUGUUCUUAGGAUCAGGCCGACAUUACUUUUUUCUUCUGUCUCCUUCCCAGUGCCUACUUGUUUGAAGGCAGCCUUACUGGUCCAGAGUUGCCUUUGGUAAGAUGUUUAAUGGCGUACUGCUCCUGCAGCAUACCCUACAGCAGAAAGUGGUUUGUUUUCUGGUUGUUGUUGUUUGCUUGUUUGGCAAGAAAGGCCCUCCCCCCCUCUCUUCCCCCUUGAUGGAUCUAUUGUUUUGUCCUGAUUUCUCCCUCUCUCUAGUGCCAAAGCAUCACGCGUUAAAUGUGAGGCAGCAUUCCUGCUGAAGCAAAACAUGAAUAAAAUGUGUUCAUGUUUUGUCUGACCUUUUGGGAAACACUCCCGUGUAUUAUAGUUGUACAGCCUUUUCCACUUAAUUCCUGUGCUUUGAUUGUUUUGUAAGUCCCUUAAAAUGACAAACUUAAAACAUGCCUGGCUGGAAUAGCAUCUUACACCAGGAAUAGGAAGGCAGUGGGACUAGUUACUAAGUCACUGGUCCUCCUGCCAGCAUCUCGCUUCUAACAUGUGUGCUCUAUUAGAGCCUGAAUUCUUCCUCGCUCUGAUGUUGUUUUCACCCUGCCAAAAUAAUAAUAAUAUUUAAAUUAAAAACAACAACAA